GGCUUAGGAUGAACGCUAGCGGCAGGCUUAACACAUGCAAGUCGAGGGGCAUCGGGAGUAGCAAUACUUGCCGGCGACCGGCGCAAGGGUGCGUAACGCGUGAGCAACAUGCCCGUAUCAGGGGGAUAAUCCAUGGAAACGUGGUCUAAUACCCCAUAGUAAUUAUGUAAGGCAUCUUAUAUAAUUUAAAGCUUUGGUGGAUACGGAUUGGCUCGCGUGACAUUAGCUAGAUGGUAAGGUAACGGCUUACCAUGGCUACGAUGUCUAGGGGUUCUGAGAGGAAGGUCCCCCCACACUGGAACUGAGACACGGUCCAGACUCCUACGGGAGGCAGCAGUGAGGAAUAUUGGACAAUGGAUGGAAAUCUGAUCCAGCCAUGCCGCGUGCAGGAAAGACGGCCCUAUGGGUUGUAAACUGCUUUUGUAUGGGAGCAAUAAGGGCUACGCGUAGUCCGAUGAGAGUACCAUACGAAUAAGCACCGGCUAACUCCGUGCCAGCAGCCGC
This 504-nucleotide ribosomal RNA is filed under the name uncultured bacterium. RNAcentral describes it as "bacterial SSU rRNA". It matches the Rfam family "Bacterial small subunit ribosomal RNA", at positions 21 to 518 of the family's 1533-position model. The record is from RNAcentral.